UACGUAGGGGGCAAGCGUUGUCCGGAAUCAUUGGGCGUAAAGCGCGCGUAGGCGGUCCGGUAAGUCCGUUGUGAAAGUCAAAGGCUCAACCUUUGAAUGCCGACGGAUACUGCCGGGCUAGAGUACGGAAGAGGCGAGUGGAAUUCCUGGUGUAGCGGUGGAAUGCGCAGAUAUCAGGAGGAACACCUAUAGCGAAGGCAGCUCGCUGGGACGUUACUGACGCUGAGGCGCGAAAGCGUGGGGAGCGAACAGG
RNAcentral lists this ribosomal RNA (253 nucleotides) under uncultured bacterium. RNAcentral describes it as "partial 16S ribosomal RNA". It matches the Rfam family "Bacterial small subunit ribosomal RNA", at positions 524 to 776 of the family's 1533-position model. The record is from RNAcentral.